AGGACCCGUCUUGAAACACGGACCAAGGAGUCUAACAUGUGCGCGAGUCAUUGGGACUGCAAAGCCUAAAGGCGCAAUGAAAGUGAAGGUCGAUCUCAGCGUCGACCGAGGGAGGAUGGCUCGCGUCAAGAUGCGAGUCCGCACUCCCGGGGCGUCUCGUGCUCAUUACGAGCAGAGGCGCACCCAGAGCGUACACGUUGGGACCCGAAAGAUGGUGAACUAUGCCUGGUCAGGACGAAGUCAGGGGAAACCCUGAUGGAGGUCCGUAGCGAUUCUGACGUGCAAAUCGAUCGUCGGAACUGGGUAUAGGGGCGAAAGACUAAUCGAACCAUCUAGUAGCUGGUUCCCUCCGAAGUUUCCCUCAGGAUAGCUGGCACUCGCGUGAGCGAGUCUCAUCUGGUAAAGCGAAUGAUUAGAGGCCUUGGGGCCGAAACGACCUCAACCUAUUCUCAAACUUUAAAUGGGUGAGAUCUCUGGCUUGCUUGAACGUUGAAGCCACGAGAUAUCAUGGAUCAGAGUGCCAAGUGGGCCAAUUUUGGUAAGCAGAACUGGGCGCUGUGGG
This 562-nucleotide ribosomal RNA is filed under the name Cirrospilus coachellae. RNAcentral's name for it is "eukaryotic LSU rRNA". It matches the Rfam family "Eukaryotic large subunit ribosomal RNA", at positions 644 to 1162 of the family's 3401-position model. Lineage: Eukaryota; Metazoa; Arthropoda; Insecta; Hymenoptera; Eulophidae. The record is from RNAcentral.